RNAcentral lists this ribosomal RNA (492 nucleotides) under uncultured bacterium. Its description in RNAcentral is "partial 16S ribosomal RNA". It matches the Rfam family "Bacterial small subunit ribosomal RNA", at positions 29 to 507 of the family's 1533-position model. The record is from RNAcentral.
AGUGAACGCUGGCGGUAGGCCUAACACAUGCAAGUCGAACGGCAGCACAGUAAGAGCUUGCUCUUACGGGUGGCGAGUGGCGGACGGGUGAGGAAUACAUCGGACUCUACUUUUUCGUGGGGGAUCACGUAGGGAAACUUACGCUAAUACCGCAUACGACCUACGGUUGAAAGCAGGGGAUCUUCUGACCUUGCGCGAUUGAAUGCGCCGAUGUCGGAUUAGCUAGUUGGCGGGGUAAAGGCCCACCAAGGGGACGAUCCGUAGCUGGUCUGAGAGGAUGAUCAGCCACACUGGAACGGAGACACGGACCAGACUCCUACGGGAGGCAGCAGUGGGGAAUAGUGGACAAUGGGCGCAAGCCUGAUCCAGCCAGACCGCGUGUGUGAAGAAGGCCUUCGGGUUGUAAAGCCCUUUUGUUGGGAAAGAAAAGCAGCAGGUUAAUACCCCGCUGUUCUGACGGUACCCAAAGAAGAAGCACCGGCUAACUUCGUG